Molecule: ribosomal RNA, 439 nt
Filed under: uncultured bacterium
Lineage: Bacteria
Description: partial 16S ribosomal RNA
Rfam family: Bacterial small subunit ribosomal RNA
Source: RNAcentral
CUACGGGCGGCUGCAGUGGGGAAUAUUGCACAAUGGAGGAAACUCUGAUGCAGCAACGCCGCGUGGAGGAUGACACUUUUCGGAGCGUAAACUCCUUUUAUAUAGGAAGAAGAUGACGGUACUAUAUGAAUAAGCGCCGGCUAACUCCGUGCCAGCAGCCGCGGUAAUACGGAGGGCGCAAGCGUUACUCGGAAUCACUGGGCGUAAAGAGCGUGUAGGCGGAUUAAAAAGUCAGAAGUGAAAUCCUAUAGCUUAACUAUAGAACUGCUUCUGAAACUCUUAAUCUAGAAUAUGGGAGAGGUAGAUGGAAUUUCUGGUGUAGGGGUAAAAUCCGUAGAGAUCACUCGGAAUACUGAUUGCGAAGGCGAUCUACUAGAACAUUAUUGACGCUGAGACGCGAAAGCGUGGGGAGCAAACAGGAUUAGAUACCCUGGUAGUC